Molecule: ribosomal RNA, 253 nt
Filed under: uncultured bacterium
Lineage: Bacteria
Description: partial 16S ribosomal RNA
Rfam family: Bacterial small subunit ribosomal RNA
Source: RNAcentral
UACGUAGGGUGCAAGCGUUGUCCGGAAUUAUUGGGCGUAAAGAGCUCGUAGGCGGUUUGUCGCGUCUGCUGUGAAAACUCGGGGCUCAACCCCGGGAGGCGGGUGGAUACUGUCAAGCUCGAGUCCGGAAGAGGAGUGUGGAAUUCCUGGUGUAGCGGUGAAAUGCGCAGAUAUCAGGAGGAACACCAAUGGCGAAGGCAGCACUCUGGGACGUGACUGACGCUGAGACGCGAAAGCGUGGGGAGCAAACAGG